CUGGACCCGCAGGCCCUGCAGGACAGAGACUGGCAGCGCACCAUCAUCUCCAUGAAUGUGAUCGAAGUAAAGCUCUCGGUCAAGUUCAACAGCAGGGAGUUCAGCUUGAAGAGGAUGCCAUCCCAGAAACAGACAGGGGUCUUCAGAGUCAAGAUUGCUGUGGUCACCAAGAGAGAGAGGUCCAAGGUGCCCUACAUCGUGCGCCAGUGCGUGGAGGAGAUCGAGCGCCGAGGCAUGGAGGAGGUGGGCAUCUACCGCGUGUCCGGCCAGUGUGGCCGCAGACAUCCAGGCACUGAAGGCAGCCUUCGACGCCAGUGAGUGUCGGCCUGCGCAGGACGGGAUGGAGGUGUGGGCAGUGGUGUCCGCAAUGAGAUCUCAGAGUGCUCCAUGGCCCAGGCAUGUCACAUCCUUCUCUGUGUCUUUUCUUCAUUUACUGUUUUAUUAUUUUAAAAAAGAGAAAACAAGAGUUGUACAAACAGCUUCCAUAGAAGCCAGUUUUUACACCAUCGUACCCACUCAUGCCACUUGGUGGAGUGGACCAGGGGCUUCUGUGGGGACUUGGCCUUCCUGCCUUGGGGGGGACAGGAGGUGGAAGCCCAGGACUCAGUGCGGUCUGUCCACUGCCCUGUAUGAGGAUGUGGUGGGCAGAGGGCACUGAUGAAAUUCAGCGCAGGCUGGGGCUGCAGCAUCUCCGCCUCCAUCUCACCAACCCUCACAGGCUUUGAAGGACCCAGACCUGCCUCAAAUGCCAGGGGAGGGCACUGAGACCCCAGAGGGUCCUUCCCAGCAUCUUCAAAGCAACAGGAUUUUGUGCCUGCAGACCCUUCUUUGGGGCACACACCACCCACCCUGACCAGGACCCCUAGAAUGCCCAGCAUCCCUGGGAGGGCCCUGUGGUAGUUUCAGCUCCCUCUGGGGGUCCAGAAUGAA
This 930-nucleotide small RNA is filed under the name Pan troglodytes (chimpanzee). RNAcentral describes it as "retained intron". Lineage: Eukaryota; Metazoa; Chordata; Mammalia; Primates; Hominidae. The record is from RNAcentral.